AUUUUGUUAUAGUGUGACAGAAAGAGACUGUGAAAAGCAUUGCGUCUUACUCUACCUUCUCCACUACAUCCAGUCUGUCAUGAAGAGUACUGUGGUCCUGACAGGCACUCGACCGGACAGCUCUGGGUUGGAGCUCAGACUCAGGUCCUGAUCGAAAACAUAAAGCAGACGGCAUCAUUUUCCAUACAAUACAACAUUAUUUCUAACAGUAUUUCUGAUAUUGUCUUUACAUUACAACACCUUAGUAUCCUACAUAGAGCCUAGACUAUAGGAUACAUUGUAGUAUGUAUGGACCCCAAUACCCAGCACAGCAAAAUUCUCAAAUACUCCCUCGGCCUGAGAAUACACAGUGUAUUUUUGUCUACUAUCUCUAUCCACAGCUUGAGUUCCAUUAUAAAUCUUCAUCCAGCUAAUCUCUAAAGGUCACCAAAACAAGUCUUUCUUGUCUCCUCUCUUGCUCCUUCCUCUCUCUCUCCCUCUGACUGGUUCACAGCCCGUUCCAAGUGUUUUCUAUUACCUCUACAUCUCUGCUCUGCAGGCAGCCUGCAGCCCAGCCAUCCAGUUCACCACAACCUCUGACCACAUGCCAUUCUGUUGACAUCACACUGCCACAAACUGAGUUGGGAUCAGUUCACCCUCACUCUCACCAGUACGUAACCCAGUUUGUUUAGAAGAGAUGCCGCUGAUCCAGGGUUAGCAUUAAGGAGCAGCGUCACUGCCUGUGUUUUACCUGUACACCUUUAGGCUUAGUAGUCUACUACUAGAAAUGGCAUAGCUUUGAUGCAACCCUUUGUCUGGAAGGGAAGGCGGUCUCACUUUAAAUCAAGCUUGAACCUUUAUGGGUUGGGUGUGGUGAAGAAACCUCCAUAUACAUUGUUCCACCAGGUUUUUUCUCUUUGUCAUCCAGGUUUCAUGGUUCCAAUUAACCACCCAGACCCUUUUGAAGAGCCCCCUAUUUUCUCUGGGAGCUGAAACUCUGGUCUAUGCCGAUGAAUGUGGCUGGGAUGUGCGGUCCAUAUGUCUGUGAAGACAAGUUUCUUCUUAAUAAUUAGUGGAGCAUAGACCAUGCAUAAUCUCUUGCAUGGUGUCCUUUCUAUUCUCUUCAGCCACACUUCCUGUUGCAUCUGGUUUCCAUCACAUCACAGAACUGUUUAACAUAGGUCUUUAAGCUAGACAUUUCUUACUUACUAUAUAUUGUCCCAGGCCCUUGUGCACACUGAAGGGUAUUACAAACACAAGACAAAGACAUUUACAUACAACAUACUAUAUACUGCAUACAGAGAUACUGGAUAUAAUGACGAGAUGCCUAUGUCUUCGCUCUAACAAUGGGAUUCGUAGUCCACUUAGCGGAACGGCAAGCUCUCAAGCUCUCGCCUUUUACUCUCUUUGGAUAGGUGGAUGCAUCUUGUUAUUUGAAUACUAUUUUGAACAUUCGAUGGUGGGUGUUGACGUCAACCGCCUGUAUUCAAUGGAAAGUGAGAUGCUAUGCUAGUCUCAUGAAUAUGCUAGUCUCAUGAAUAGACCGUCUCCGAUAUAAAGUGUGUUUUCUCUAAGUUGCCGCGAUGUCGCGUGCAUCACACUUUUAUCAGUACACUCUUAACAGCCUAAGCAGUACGAAACUUCUAUUCGAUAAAAUAAGCCUCAUGUACCAAAAUAGUAAUACAUGUUUAUCUUGACUAAAUUCUGCUUGCCCCCCAUACAAACACUGCUCACUUGCUUAAUAAAUAAUGAUCUUCUGAACGUGGAGAGAUUUUAGGCCGAGUAAACCCUCUCGCUUCGCCUCUUCUUCUCUGAUAUAUAGCAGUCUAUUAGGUGUUGAAUUUGGCCUCAUAUUUCUAGUUGUCUAUUCCCUGCCUGUCAGAAAAUGAACACAAGAUAAGGACCAUUUAUUUUCCCGGCGUCAUGACUGUCCUCCAGCGUCCUGUGAAUAGCAGCCAUUGAUUACUGGUUGUGCUGUUUUUAUGGAGCUAUCCCGCGGUACAAUUUCAUAAGCUCCAUUACAACACCACUGAUCAUAUCUAGGACAAAAGCCAAGGAAACCCAAGGGAUGAUUGUAAGAUAGAGCUCCUCUUUAGAUUUCUCUCAAUAAACACACCAGGUGUCUCUGCAUCAGUACUACAGCAUGUACACAGACAUAAGCACCCUUCAUUUUCAGUAAAUUAAACUCAUCUGAGUGUAUGAGCCAGUUGGCAAACUACAAUAGCUAAGGACUUUUUUUUCUUAGGAAGACGUGUCACAUGUGAGCAUCGAUUGAUCACAUUCUGUGUUUAGCACGUGACACAGCGUGUGCACGCACGCACAUUCGGUGCACACACAAACAAAGACGCACACAAACACACACACACAGUGGAUGCUGUCUCAGUUGGAUAGUUAUGUGACGUAUGUAACCUAAACAUAGUGGUUUGCUGUUGAAUGCCAGAAUUCCCUGCUCUGCCAGUUUAAACAGCCUGUGCUGCUCCUAGUUUGGUUAUCAACAUGGAGGGGAACCAAAAGACCCUAAGACUGCAGCUGAAGAUUGUCAGGGAAGUGUGUUCUGAGCCAAUUGUAAUUUUCCAAGGUCGUUCUUUGUGGCACCUGACCAUACGACUGAACCAGUGGAGGCUCCUCAGGAGAAGAAAGGGGAGUACUAUCUGUGUUGAGAAGCUUGUCAAAUCCUGUCCUGCACUGAAGUCAAGCCUCUGAACACCUCAACUCAGGCCUCAUACCCUCAUUCAAUCACUGCUGUGAUCCCUUCCAAACACUGUCUGCACCAGGAGAAAUACUGACCCACACACUCAGAGGAAACAGGCCAUAUGAAAGGAAAACACAACAGCCCACAAGAGUCUGAUCUAACACCCUCCGCCCUGGGAGACAGGUUUGGAAGAUGGUGUGUGUGUGUGUGUGUGUGUGUGUGUGUGUGUGUUGGCCUGUCUCUGUGGGGUGUUCAUGUUCACAUGUGUGUUUGCACUGGCCACAGGAGACAGGGCAAGUUGUGCAGUGGAGUGAAUACUGAAGAAUACAGCCAGAGCAUUAGGUCAGUUUGUACACAACACCAGUGGUCCCACAAACCAGAGCUUGCCUAAUACAGACCCGCCCAUGGAAAAGAGACUAACAAGCUGUUAGUCAGAUCUCCAGAGUAUUUCCUGAAUCAAUAUUGGGUUGGCAGAGAGAGCAAGAACUAGUGUGUGGUUCCAUGUGUUGGCCAUUCCUUGUGUAUGAAGUCACACUCAAGCCCAAUCAUCUCUGGUUUCUCAUAAGUCCUCAAAGAGUAGGAUAUGGAGGGGGGGCUAAAAUGUUUACGAUUUUCAUUGAGCAGUAAACAAGAUUGGAAUGAUAGACAAACAUUAGACAUAUAAGGAUAAAAUAGAAGAUUUUUGUAAAAAAUGCAAUACUGAUGAGGACUACAUGGAGAAAGGUCAAUGCUGCAUUAAACAUAAGAAAACAGAUGUUUUAACCUCACGAGUACAAUCUCUCUCUCUCUCUCUUUCUCCAUACAGUACCAGUCAAAAGUUUGGACACACCAACCUUUUCCAAAUUCGUACUAUUUUCUACAUUGUAGAAUAAUAAUGAAGACAUCACAACUAUGAAAUAGCACAUAUGGAAUCUUGUAGUAACCAAAAAAGUGUUAAACACCUCAAUUACAUCGACUAAGGAAGACCUCAAUUACCUCGACUAACCGAUGUCCAUGCACAUUGACUCUGUACCAGUAUCCCCCUGUGUAUAGUCUCGCUAUUGUUAUUUUACUGCUGCUCUUUAAUUACUUGUUACUUUUACUUCUUAUUCUUAUCCAUAUUUUGUUUUUAACUGCAUUGUUGGUUAGGGGCUCGUAAGUAAGCAUUUCACUGUAAGGUCUACACUUGUUUUAUUCGGCGCAUGUGACUAAUACAAUUUGAUUUGAACAAAUUAAAAUAUAUUUUAUAUUUGAGAUUCUUCAAAGUAGCCACUCUUUGCCUUGAUGCCAGCUUUGCACACUCUUGGCCUUCUCUCAACCAGAUUCAUGAGGUAGUCACCCGGAAUGCAUUUAAAUUAAUAACAGGUGUGUUAAUUUGUGGAAUUUCUUUCCUUCUUAAUGUGUUUGAGCCAAUCAGUUGUGUUGUGACAAGGUAGGGGUGAUAUACAGAAGAUAGCCCUAUUUGGUAAAAGACCAAGUCCAUAUUAUGGCAAGAACAGCUCAAAUAAGCAAAGAGAAAUGACAGUCCAUCAUUGCUUUAAGACAUGAAUGUCAGUCAAUUCAGAAAAUGUCAAGAACUUUGAAAGUUUCUUCAAGUGAAAAAAACAUUAAGCGCUAUGAUGAAACUGGCUCUCAUGAGGACCUCCACAAGAAUGGAAGACCCAGAGUUACCUCUGCUGCAGAGGAUAAGUUAAAUAGAGUUAACUGCACCUCAGAUUGCAGCCCAAAUAAAUGCGCAACCGAGUUCAAGUAACAGACAAAUCUCAACAUCAACUGUUCAGAGGAGAUUGCGUGAAUCAGGCCUUCAUGGUCGAAUUCCUGCAAAGAAACCACUACUAAAGGACACCAGUAAGAAGAACAGACUUGCUUGGGCCAAGAAACACGCGCAUUGCACAUUAGACUGUCCUUGUGUCUAAUGAGUCCAAAUUUGAUAUUUUUGGUUCCAACCGCUGUGUCUUUGUGAGACGCAGAGGAGGUGAACAGAUGAUCUCUGCAUGUGUUGUUCCCACCAUGAAGCAUGGAGGAGGAGGUGCCAAACAUCAGCCUCGAAACCUUAAUGACUUGGAGAAGAUCUGCAAAGAGGAGUGGGACAAAAUCCCUCCUGAGAUGUGUGCAAACCUGGUGGCCAACUACAAGAAAUGUCUGACCUCUGUGAUUACCAACAAGGGUUUUGCCACCAAGUACUAAGUCAUGUUUUGCAGAGGGGUCAAAUACUUAUUUCCCUCAUUAAAAUGCAAAUCAAUUUAUAACAUUUUUGACAUGCGUUUUUCUGGAUAUUUUGGUUCUGUCUCUCACUGUUCAUUAAAAUGAUAGACUGAUCCUUUCUUUGUCAGUGGGCAAACAUACAAAAUCAGCAGGGGAUCAAAUACUUUUUUCCCCCACUGUAUGUGUUAUUUCAUAGUUGUGAUGAAAAAGAGAAAAAACCCUUGAAUGAGUAGGUGUGUCCAAACCUUUGUCUGUUUAUAUAUAUACUUUAAAUAUCUCUAUCUAUCUAUCUAUCUAUCUAUCUAUCUAUCUAUCUAUCUAUCUAUCUAUCUAUCUAUCUAUCUAUCUAUCUAUCUAUCUAUCUAUCUAUCUAUCUAUCUAUCUAUCUAUCUAUCUAUCUAUCUAUCUAUCUAUCUAUCUAUCUAUCUAUCUAUCUAUCUAUCUAUCUAUCUAUCUAUCUAUCUAUCUAUCUAUCUAUCUAUCUCAUGCACACACACACACACACAAAAAAAAGUUCUGGGACAUUGUAAAGUCCAUGGAGAAUAAGAACACCUCCUCCCAACUGCCCACUGCACUGAGGAUAGGAAACUCUGUCACCACCGAUAAGCCCACUAUAAUUGAGAAUUUCAAUAAGCAUUUUUCUACGGCUGGCCAUGCUUUCC
RNAcentral lists this long non-coding RNA (5517 nucleotides) under Salmo salar (Atlantic salmon). RNAcentral's name for it is "lncRNA (ENSSSAG00000117860.1)". The record is from RNAcentral. Lineage: Eukaryota; Metazoa; Chordata; Actinopteri; Salmoniformes; Salmonidae.